This 2404-nucleotide ribosomal RNA is filed under the name Haemophilus influenzae. RNAcentral describes it as "bacterial LSU rRNA". It matches the Rfam family "Bacterial large subunit ribosomal RNA", at positions 14 to 2331 of the family's 2925-position model. The record is from RNAcentral. Lineage: Bacteria; Pseudomonadati; Pseudomonadota; Gammaproteobacteria; Pasteurellales; Pasteurellaceae.
AGCGUACAAGGUGGAUGCCUUGGCAAUCAGAGGCGAAGAAGGACGUGCUAAUCUGCGAAAAGCUUGGAUGAGUCGAUAAGAGGCGUUUAAUCCAAGAUAUCCGAAUGGGGAAACCCAGUAGAUGAAGAAUCUACUAUCAACAAGUGAAUUCAUAGCUUGUUGAGGCAAACCGGGAGAACUGAAACAUCUAAGUACCCCGAGGAAAAGAAAUCAACCGAGAUUUCGUCAGUAGCGGCGAGCGAAAGCGAAAGAGCCAGUAAGUGAUAACAGUAUGGUUAGGAGAAUGUGUUGGGAAGCACAAUCAAAGAGGGUGAUAAUCCCGUAUCUUAAAACCAUAUUGUGGUACUAAGCUAACGAGAAGUAGGGCGGGACACGUGAUAUCCUGUUUGAAGAUGGGGGGACCAUCCUCCAAGGCUAAAUACUCCUGAUUGACCGAUAGUGAACCAGUACUGUGAAGGAAAGGCGAAAAGAACCCCGGUGAGGGGAGUGAAAUAGAACCUGAAACCUUGUACGUACAAGCAGUGGGAGCCUGAAAGGGUGACUGCGUACCUUUUGUAUAAUGGGUCAGCGACUUAUAUUUUGUAGCGAGGUUAACCGAAUAGGGGAGCCGAAGGGAAACCGAGUCUUAACUGGGCGACGAGUUGCAAGGUAUAGACCCGAAACCCGGUGAUCUAGCCAUGGGCAGGUUGAAGGUUGGGUAACACUAACUGGAGGACCGAACCGACUAAUGUUGAAAAAUUAGCGGAUGACUUGUGGCUGGGGGUGAAAGGCCAAUCAAACCGGGAGAUAGCUGGUUCUCCCCGAAAUCUAUUUAGGUAGAGCCUUGAGGUGACACCUUUGGGGGUAGAGCACUGUUUCGGCUAGGGGUCCAUCCCGGAUUACCAACCCGAUGCAAACUACGAAUACCAAAGAGUGAUACUCAGGAGACACACGGCGGGUGCUAACGUUCGUCGUGGAGAGGGAAACAACCCAGACCGCCAGCUAAGGUCCCCAAGUCUAUAUUAAGUGGGAAACGAAGUGGGAAGGCUUAGACAGCUAGGAUGUUGGCUUAGAAGCAGCCAUCAUUUAAAGAAAGCGUAAUAGCUCACUAGUCGAGUCGGCCUGCGCGGAAGAUGUAACGGGGCUGAAAUAUAGCACCGAAGCUGCGGCAUCAGGCGUAUCACUAAUACGCCUUACGAUUAACAACAUGGAAUGGCGCGAAGCGGCAUGAAAGGUUGUUCAAGCAACCCGAACGUUGAGUCGGGGUAUUUUUGAAGUAAGGAUUAUUAGUGAUACGCCUGUUGGGUAGGGGAGCGUUGUGUAAGCGGAUGAAGGUUAAUCGAGAGGUUAGCUGGACGUAUCACAAGUGCGAAUGCUGACAUAAGUAACGAUAAAACGAGUGAAAAACUCGUUCGCCGGAAGACCAAGGGUUCCUGUCCAACGUUAAUCGGGGCAGGGUGAGUCGGCCCCUAAGGCGAGGCUGAAAAGCGUAGUCGAUGGGAAACAGGUUAAUAUUCCUGUACUUGGUAAAGCUGCGAUGUGGGGACGGAGUAGGUUAGGUUAGCGUGCUGUUGGAUAUGCACGUUUAAGUUGGUAGGUGGGAAGUUUAGGCAAAUCCGGACUUCCUUAACACAGAGAGAUGAUGACGAGGCUCUACGGAGCUGAAGUAACUGAUACCACACUUCCAGGAAAAGCCACUAAGCGACAGGUUUUACUAAACCGUACUGAAAACCGACACAGGUGGUCAGGUAGAGAAUACUCAGGCGCUUGAGAGAACUCGGGUGAAGGAACUAGGCAAAAUAGCACCGUAACUUCGGGAGAAGGUGCGCCGGCGUAGAUUGUAAGGGCUAGCCCCUGAAGGUUGAACCGGUCGAAGAUACCAGCUGGCUGCAACUGUUUAUUAAAAACACAGCACUCUGCAAACACGAAAGUGGAGGUAUAGGGUGUGAUGCCUGCCCGGUGCUGGAAGGUUAAUUGAUGGUGUAAUCGAAAGAGAAGCACCUGAUCGAAGCCCCAGUAAACGGCGGCCGUAACUAUAACGGUCCUAAGGUAGCGAAAUUCCUUGUCGGGUAAGUUCCGACCUGCACGAAUGGCAUAAUGAUGGCCAGGCUGUCUCCACCCGAGACUCAGUGAAAUUGAAAUCGCCGUGAAGAUGCGGUGUACCCGCGGCUAGACGGAAAGACCCCGUGAACCUUUACUAUAGCUUGACACUGAACAUUGAAUUUUGAUGUGUAGGAUAGGUGGGAGACUAAGAAGUAGGAACGCCAGUUUCUAUGGAGUCAUCCUUGAAAUACCACCCUUUAACGUUUGAUGUUCUAACGAAGAUUACGAAACGUGGUCUCGGACAGUGUCUGGUGGGUAGUUUGACUGGGGCGGUCUCCUCCCAAAGCGUAACGGAGGAGCACGAAGGUUUGCUAAUCACGGU